AUGGUCGCCCUGUGCCCUCGCCUCCGCGUCCUCGGCCUGCACUCCUGCUCGGCCCUCCGUCGAAUCGCCGUGACGGCGGCGACGGGGCGCAAACUGAGGAGCGUCACCAUCGCAGGGUGCAGCUGGCUCAUUGAGGUGGACGUCGCGGCGGUUUCUAGCCUCCGGUCGUUUCGCUACAGCGGCGGUUUCCUCUCGUCGUUCUAUCUCCCCGACAACGCCGCAUUCGCCGACCUCUACAUCUGCUUCGACGCCCAGAGAAGCUGCAAUGUCCGCAUCUGCCAAAAGGUGUUCAGCGACUGGUUCGAAAGCCGUGUAUGCUCCAAACUCACCGCGCUCACCAUCUGCAGCAAUGUCCUCUUUGUUGUGUCUUCCUUGCCGAAUGGAAUCUCGCAUGCCGAAUCGGCCAAGAUGGGCGGUGACUUCUUUCGGAGCAUGACAGAACUACAAUUGCUUAUGUUAGAUAUGAAGGCCCCUGAGCUUGCGAACAUCUAUGUGUUCCUCAAGAACAGCCAUUGCUGUAAUCUGGAGAGGCUUUUCUUGCAGCUCCCUAGCAUCCCCACUGAGCCCUCAGUGGAUUCAAUUGACCAUGUGGGGGUAGAGCCGCCAGAGGAUGUUUUGGAAAACCUUAAGGUGGUAAAGAUUACAAACUUCAACUGGAACCGCAUUGAGCUGCAGCUAGUGUGUUUUUUGUUGAGGAAGGCUAGCUCUCUCCAUAAACUGCUACUGGUUACUCCCAGUUUGGUUCCAUUGGAUGUGACCGGUAUUCAGAAGGCAGAUCUCUUACUUGUUCGAGAAGCUGUGGUGAAUGGAAAAAUAAUUCUCAGCAAGUUGGACGAUGCUGCAACCCAGCCAUUUCAUUCGGAUGUCUUUGCCGAAGUUUAG
Molecule: ribosomal RNA, 882 nt
Filed under: Triticum aestivum (bread wheat)
Lineage: Eukaryota; Viridiplantae; Streptophyta; Magnoliopsida; Poales; Poaceae
Description: partial small subunit ribosomal RNA
Source: RNAcentral